AUUGAACGCUGGCGGCAGGCCUAACACAUGCAAGUCGAGCGGAUGAAGGGUGCUUGCUCCUGGAUUCAGCGGCGGACGGGUGAGUAAUGCCUAGGAAUCUGCCUGGUUGUGGGGGAUAACGUCCGGAAACGGGCGCUAAUACCCCAUACGCGCUGAGGGAGAAAGUGGGGGAUCUUCGGACCUUCGGCCCUCGGAUGAGCCAAGGUGGGAUUAGCGAGUUGGUGGGUUAAAGGCCUACCAAGGCGACGAUCCGAAACUGGUCUGAGAGGAUGAUCAGUCACACUGGAACUGAGACACGGUCCAGACUCCUACGGGAGGCAGCAGUGGGGAAUAUUGGACAAUGGGCGAAAGCCUGAUCCAGCCAUGCCGCGUGUGUGAAGAAGGUCUUCGGAUUGUAAAGCACUUUAAGUUGGGAGGAAGGGCAGUAAGUUAAUACCUUGCUGUUUUGACGUUACCAACAGAAUAAGCACCGGCUAACUUCGUG
This 484-nucleotide ribosomal RNA is filed under the name uncultured bacterium. RNAcentral describes it as "partial 16S ribosomal RNA". It matches the Rfam family "Bacterial small subunit ribosomal RNA", at positions 30 to 507 of the family's 1533-position model. The record is from RNAcentral.